GAAAAUGAAAACUUCGUGAAUAAACGGCAAAAGUCUGUACUGACGAACAGAAAGUACAUAAGAGGCAUAGCAAUAAGGAUGAGCGUCCACAGCAACGUAAAGUCCGAAGAAUACAAAAUCUACUAGAUGUAGAUGCAGCGGGGAUAGGCGGAAGGAAAAAGCG
This 163-nucleotide non-coding RNA is filed under the name Flavobacterium branchiophilum. The record is from RNAcentral. Lineage: Bacteria; Pseudomonadati; Bacteroidota; Flavobacteriia; Flavobacteriales; Flavobacteriaceae.